RNAcentral lists this ribosomal RNA (492 nucleotides) under uncultured bacterium. RNAcentral's name for it is "partial 16S ribosomal RNA". It matches the Rfam family "Bacterial small subunit ribosomal RNA", at positions 29 to 507 of the family's 1533-position model. The record is from RNAcentral.
AGUGAACGCUGGCGGUAGGCCUAACACAUGCAAGUCGAACGGCAGCACAGUAAGAGCUUGCUCUUACGGGUGGCGAGUGGCGGGCGGGUGAGGAAUACAUCGGAAUCUACUUUUUCGUGGGGGAUAACGUAGGGGAACUUACGCUAAUACCGCAUACGACGUACGGGUGAAAGCAGGGGAUCUUCGGACCUUGCGCGAUUGAAUGAGCCGAUGUCGGAUUAGCUAGUUGGCGGGGUAAAGGCCCACCAAGGCGACGAUCCGUAGCUGGUCUGAGAGGAUGAUCAGCCACACUGGAACUGAGACACGGUCCAGACUCCUACGGGAGGCAGCAGUGGGGAAUAUUGGACAAUGGGCGCAAGCCUGAUCCAGCCAUACCGCGUGGGUGAAGAAGGCCUUCGGGUUGUAAAGCACUUUUGUUGGGAAAGAAAAGCAGCAGGUUAAUACCCCGCUGUUCUGACGGUACCCAAAGAAUAAGCACCGGCUAACUUCGUG